GAUGAACGCUGGCGGCGUGCCUAAUACAUGCAAGUCGAGCGAACGGACGAGAAGCUUGCUUCUCUGAUGUUAGCGGCGGACGGGUGAGUAACACGUGGAUAACCUACCUAUAAGACUGGGAUAACUUCGGGAAACCGGAGCUAAUACCGGAUGAUAUUUUGAACCGCAUGGUUCAAAAGUGAAAGACGGUCUUGCUGUCACUUAUAGAUGGAUCCGCGCUGCAUUAGCUAGUUGGUAAGGUAACGGCUUACCAAGGCAACGAUGCAUAGCCGACCUGAGAGGGUGAGCGGGCAAGCAGGAAGUGAGACACGGCACAGAGCGAGACGGGGGCGGACGAAAGGGGAGCUUCCGAAAUGGGCGAAAGCCUGAUGAAGCACUGCUGCUGGAGUAAAGAAGGUCUUCGAAUAUUAAAACCCUGUUAUAAGGUAACAACAUAGAAGUCAGCAACUAUGCACAUCCGAACGGCCCCUAAACUGAACAACAACCCCAUUUACACC
This 497-nucleotide ribosomal RNA is filed under the name uncultured bacterium. Its description in RNAcentral is "partial 16S ribosomal RNA". It matches the Rfam family "Bacterial small subunit ribosomal RNA", at positions 28 to 479 of the family's 1533-position model. The record is from RNAcentral.